GACGAACGCUGGCGGCGUGCCUAAUACAUGCAAGUAGAACGCUGAAGAGAGGAGCUUGCUCUUCUUGGAUGAGUUGCGAACGGGUGAGUAAUGCGUAGGUAACCUGCCUUGUAGCGGGGGAUAACUAUUGGAAACGAUAGCUAAUACCGCAUAACAAUGGAUGACACAUGUCAUUUAUUUGAAAGGGGCAAUUGCUCCACUACAAGAUGGACCUGCGUUGUAUUAGCUAGUAGGUGAGGUAAUGGCUCACCUAGGCGACGAUACAUAGCCGACCUGAGAGGGUGAUCGGCCACACUGGGACUGAGACACGGCCCAGACUCCUACGGGAGGCAGCAGUAGGGAAUCUUCGGCAAUGGGGGCAACCCUGACCGAGCAACGCCGCGUGAGUGAAGAAGGUUUUCGGAUCGUAAAGCUCUGUUGUAAGUCAAGAACGGGUGUGAGAGUGGAAAGUUCACACUGUGACGGUAGCUUACCAGAAAGGGACGGCUAACUACGUG
RNAcentral lists this ribosomal RNA (497 nucleotides) under uncultured bacterium. RNAcentral describes it as "partial 16S ribosomal RNA". It matches the Rfam family "Bacterial small subunit ribosomal RNA", at positions 28 to 507 of the family's 1533-position model. The record is from RNAcentral.